This 402-nucleotide ribosomal RNA is filed under the name bacterium. Its description in RNAcentral is "partial 16S ribosomal RNA". It matches the Rfam family "Bacterial small subunit ribosomal RNA", at positions 355 to 776 of the family's 1533-position model. The record is from RNAcentral.
UGGGGAAUUUUGCACAAUGGGGGAAACCCUGAUGCAGCGACGCCGCGUGAUUUAGAAGGCCUUCGGGUUGUAAAAAUCUUUUCUAUGGGAAGAAAAUGACAGUACCAUAGGAAUAAGGACCGGCUAAUUACGUGCCAGCAGCCGCGGUAAUACGUAAGGUCCGAGCGUUGUCCGGAAUCAUUGGGCGUAAAGGGUACGUAGGCGGGUAAGCAAGUUAGAAGUGAAAUCCUAUAGCUCAACUAUAGUAAGCUUUUAAAACUGCUCAUCUUGAGGUAUGGAAGGGAAAGUGGAAUUCCUAGUGUAGCGGUGAAAUGCGCAGAUAUUAGGAGGAAUACCGGUGGCGAAGGCGACUUUCUGGCCAUAACCUGACGGUGAGGUACGAAAGCGUGGGUAGCAAACAGG